GCUUUGUAGGGCUUCCACUCGUAGUUAUCCAUGCAUCGAGAAUCUUCUCGAAAAGAGCAUCCAAGAGUAGAACUUUCGUUGGAUGGAGGAAAAGAACAUUGUCGUUUUUCCUUAUCAACUUUGUGGGGGGAGAAUAGGCAACGAUCGGCAUGUUUAGAGUGAUGGGCUGAGUAGUGUGGUCCAUCCCGUUGAUGAGACUGCCAUCGAGAUUGCACCACCAUCAACUGUUAACUGUGUCGAGAUAGGAUAGUCGAUGAUCGACGACAUCAAUUUGAGGGAAC
This 281-nucleotide long non-coding RNA is filed under the name Elaeis guineensis (African oil palm). RNAcentral describes it as "long non-coding RNA (EGUI_LNC023562)". The record is from RNAcentral. Lineage: Eukaryota; Viridiplantae; Streptophyta; Magnoliopsida; Arecales; Arecaceae.